AACGCGAAGAACCUUACCAGCUUUUGACAUGUCCCGUAUGAGUACCAGAGAUGGAACUCUUCAGUUCGGCUGGCGGGAACACAGGUGCUGCAUGGCUGUCGUCAGCUCGUGUCGUGAGAUGUUGGGUUAAGUCCCGCAACGAGCGCAACCCUCGCCCUUAGUUGCCAUCAUUUAGUUGGGCACUCUAAGGGGACUGCCGGUGAUAAGCCGCGAGGAAGGUGGGGAUGACGUCAAGUCCUCAUGGCCCUUACAGGCUGGGCUACACACGUGCUACAAUGGCGGUGACAAUGGGACGCAAUGGGGAGACCCUGCGCAAAUCUCAAAAAGCCGUCUCAGUUCGGAUUGUGCUCUGCAACUCGAGCACAUGAAGUUGGAAUCGCUAGUAAUCGCAGAUCAGCACGCUGCGGUGAAUACGUUCCCGGGCCUUGUA
RNAcentral lists this ribosomal RNA (430 nucleotides) under uncultured Alphaproteobacteria bacterium. RNAcentral describes it as "bacterial SSU rRNA". It matches the Rfam family "Bacterial small subunit ribosomal RNA", at positions 958 to 1385 of the family's 1533-position model. Lineage: Bacteria; Pseudomonadati; Pseudomonadota; Alphaproteobacteria. The record is from RNAcentral.